Molecule: microRNA, 20 nt
Filed under: Homo sapiens (human)
Lineage: Eukaryota; Metazoa; Chordata; Mammalia; Primates; Hominidae
Description: hsa-miR-1910-3p
Source: miRBase by way of RNAcentral
GAGGCAGAAGCAGGAUGACA